GCCUAAAAUCUAGCCCAUAUAUUCGUAUGACCCCCCUCCCCCUAAUCCCUAAACAAAACAUUCUCUCAUUAUAGUACAGGAGAUCGAAAAACUUCUAAGCGCUUCAGAUAAAGUACCGCAAGGGAAAAAUGAAAUAUAACUGAAAUAAUAAUAAAGCCUUAAAUAGCAGAGACACCCCCUCGUACCUUUUGCAUCAUGGUCUAGUUAGUCUACUCAAGCAAAAUGAAAUUUUUAGUUAGACAUCCCGAAACUAAGCGAGCUACUUCAAAACAGCCCAAAGGGGCUAACCCGUCUCUGUUGCAAAAGAGUGGGAAGAUUUUUAAGUAGAAGUGAAAAGCCUACCGAGCUUAGAGAUAGCUGGUUGUUCAGGAAAAGAGUUUUAGCUCUACCUUAAGUUUAUUUACGAUUUUAAACGAACCCUAAAACUUAAGAGCUAUUCAAAUAAGGUACAGCUUAUUUGAAACAGGAUACAACCUACAUUAAUGGGUAAAUAAUAGUGUAUGGGGUAAAGUUGGCCUAAAAGCAGCCACCCUUAGAAAGCGUUAAAGCUCAACUUCUAUCACUAAUAAUUUCCAAAAUUCUAAUUAACCCUUUAUUUUUACUGAACUAUUUUAUAACCCUAUAAAAGUAAUAAUGCUAGAACUAGUAACAAGAAAUUGAUUUUCUCCUAAAUGUAAAUAUACACCAAAAUGGACCAUCCAUUGGUAAUUAACGCAGAUGCAAAAAUUAUAAUAACCCCCUAGAAAAAUUUAUAGUUCUUAACGUUAACCUUACACUAGAAUAUUACAGGAAAGAUUUAAAGAAAAAGAAGGAACUCGGCAAAUUUUAGCCUCGCCUGUUUACCAAAAACAUCGCCUCUUGCCUAAAUAUAAGAGGUCCAGCCUGCCCAGUGACAAAGUUUAACGGCCGCGGUACCCUAACCGUGCGAAGGUAGCAUAAUCACUUGUUCUCUAAAUAAGGACUUGUAUCAACGGCAUCACGAAGGCCAUACUGUCUCCUUUCUCUAAUCAGUGAAACUGAUCUCUCCGUGAAGAAGCGGGGAUUUUUAUAUUAGACGAGAAGACCCCAUGGAGCUUAAAACUUAUUAUACACCUCUUCUCUAUAUAUCAUCUUAUUCAAGAAUACUUGUAUGCCAGUUUUUGGUUGGGGAGACCUCGGAGUACAAUAUAACCUCCGCAAUAAACGGACUAACACCCUUAUCCAUGAGAAACGUCUCUAAGAACUAAUAAAUUAAUAUUUAUGAUCCAAUAGUUUGAUAAAUGAACCAAGUUACCCUGGGGAUAACAGCGCAAUCUACUUCAAGAGCCCAUAUCGACAAGUAGGUUUACGACCUCGAUGUUGGAUCAGGGUCUCCUAGUGGUGCAACCGCUACUAA
RNAcentral lists this ribosomal RNA (1375 nucleotides) under Lithobates vibicarius (Rancho Redondo frog). RNAcentral describes it as "Rana vibicaria (Rancho Redondo frog) partial 16S ribosomal RNA". It matches the Rfam family "Bacterial large subunit ribosomal RNA", at positions 410 to 2568 of the family's 2925-position model. Lineage: Eukaryota; Metazoa; Chordata; Amphibia; Anura; Ranidae. The record is from RNAcentral.